UACGUAGGGCGCAAGCGUUGUCCGGAAUUAUUGGGCGUAAAGAGCUCGUAGGCGGCUUGUCACGUCGGGUGUGAAAGCCCGGGGCUUAACCCCGGGUCUGCAUCCGAUACGGGCAGGCUAGAGUGUGGUAGGGGAGAUCGGAAUUCCUGGUGUAGCGGUGAAAUGCGCAGAUAUUGGGAAGAACACCUGAGGCGAAGGCGGGUUGCUGGGCCGACACUGACGCUGAUGCGCGAAAGCCAGGGGAGCGAACGGG
This 253-nucleotide ribosomal RNA is filed under the name uncultured bacterium. Its description in RNAcentral is "partial 16S ribosomal RNA". It matches the Rfam family "Bacterial small subunit ribosomal RNA", at positions 524 to 776 of the family's 1533-position model. The record is from RNAcentral.